This 253-nucleotide ribosomal RNA is filed under the name uncultured bacterium. RNAcentral describes it as "partial 16S ribosomal RNA". It matches the Rfam family "Bacterial small subunit ribosomal RNA", at positions 524 to 776 of the family's 1533-position model. The record is from RNAcentral.
UACGUAGGGUGCAGGCGUUAAUCGGAAUUACUGGGCGUAAAGCGUGCGCAGGCGGUUUGCUAAGUCAGGUGUGAAAUCCCCGGGCUUAACCUGGGAACUGCGCUUGUAACUGGCAAGCUAGAGUGUGGCAGAGGGGGGUGGAAUUCCACGUGUAGCAGUGAAAUUCGUAGAUAUUGGGAAGAACACCGGUGGCGAAGGCGGCCUUCUGGACAGUGACUGACGCUGAGACGCGAAAGCGUGGGGAGCAAACAGG